This 253-nucleotide ribosomal RNA is filed under the name uncultured bacterium. Its description in RNAcentral is "partial 16S ribosomal RNA". It matches the Rfam family "Bacterial small subunit ribosomal RNA", at positions 524 to 776 of the family's 1533-position model. The record is from RNAcentral.
UACAGAGGGUGCAAGCGUUGAUCGGAAUUACUGGGCGUAAAGCGUGCGCAGACGGUUGCGUAAGUCAGAUGUGAAAGCCCCGGGCUCAACCUGGGAAUUGCAUUUGAGACUGCGUAGCUAGGGUGCGGAAGAGGGAAGCGGAAUUUCCGGUGUAGCGGUGAAAUGCGUAGAUAUCGGAAGGAACACCAGUGGCGAAAGCGGCUUCCUGGUCCAGCACCGACGUUCAGGCACGAAAGCGUGGGGAGCAAACAGG